Gadus macrocephalus (Pacific cod) is the source of this 1647-nucleotide long non-coding RNA. RefSeq lists it as uncharacterized. The transcript is spliced from 3 exons. The record is from RefSeq and is a predicted model, not a curated record. NCBI's taxonomy places the organism in Eukaryota, Metazoa, Chordata, Actinopteri, Gadiformes, Gadidae.
UAUGGCUGAGGCACUGCGCUCCAAACAAACCAUGGAAACAAACACUCGUGAUGUUUGAACAUCUCUGUAUAUAUAACUCCAAUUAAGUUGAAACAUUGCACCAAAGAUAUUCUAGAAGCUCUGAUUACACGAAGCAUUUUAACGAAAAUGGUUGCAGGAAUCACAAUGCAUGUUUCUGUGGCGCCACCGUGUGGUUUGAUGAGGGCCCACGCAUAUUACCAACCUGGGAUUGGUGGUUUUCUUGAGUGUGGGAUACAUUUGCUGUACUGGAGAAGAACUUCUGAAAAAAGCCACGCCAUACUCUCAGACCGGUAGGAUUUUACUCAUCACCCCACACAAAAGCUUCAUGUAGAAUGUGGGGAUAAAACUUGUUAAUAAAGUUAUUCUUAUUUUGUAAACAUUCAAUCGCUUAUAUAGGCUAUAUCGCUCAGUAAAUUCAAAACGGAAUGAUAGUUAGAUGAAUAGAUAUAAAUCGAAUAAUGUAAUAACCAGUUAGAAAUCCUCAGAUGAAUAAAAAUAGCUCUUGCAUAUCCUUGAUUGCGGUUUAGAUGUUGAACCUGAUUUUGAAUAGAAAGACUUUAGAAUAGUUCGGAGACGUAUGUAUUAUAUAUAACCCCACAUUAUGUUGUUGACUAAACAUGAGGCGCUAACGUCAUGUUAUGGGUUCCCUAAGGGACACCUUGUUCAUCCUUGGUAUUUAAUGCCUUGUGUCUAUAUCAACAUAAGCAUUAAGGGGCCCCUAUUUUACCUAAAGGUGUAGGUGUGACCGUGACAAGCCAUUUCGAAAUCUUCCCCGCCCUGUGAUACACUGAAAUCCCAAGUGGGAGGUCCCAGCUAGGUGUAUGUUGGAAAGAUAUGCCUACCAGUUGUUACAGUCCACUGGGUAGUAGGGCUGGGCGAUAUGGCCUAAAAAAAAAUCAUUUCCGAUUUAAAUCGAUUUACAUAAGAAGGCAUUAUGGCAGGCCCUGCCAUUGUAAACAGUGUAACCUGUAACAUAUCAUAAAAUGUAAAAUAUAUAAAAUAUAAAAUAAAAUAUUUCUGUAAACAUAAAAUAUUAUUAAUGAUAAGAGGUAGUUCUGAAAAAAGUGCCAACAUAACAUUCAAACUUUCAACGUGUGUUCAUAAAUAUACAGUGAUUUGCAAACGGUAAUUAGCUUUAAAAAAUGGAAUAGUAACAGGAGAAGAAUGAGAAAAAAACACACGCACGCAAAUAAACUUGACUUGACUUUCCUUCACUCAUCUGUAUUGAAUGAGGAAGAGGAGCGAGACCCCCCUACUGGAGCCCCGAGGCAUUACCAACAGAUCGACGAAUUGCCAACAGAUCGACGAAUUAUUAAACCACAGAUAUAUUUCAAAUUAAUUAUGUUUACCUCAAAAUAGAUUAUACAUAAAUGAAUAAAUUGUUGUAUAGAACUUGUCACACUCGCUGCCAUGUUUGUGUAUCACUUUGGGGGGAGGGCUGAGCCCAUUCCGAACUACGGGAGCUGAGAGGGAAGCGUUGGCGGAUGUUGAAGAGAAAACCGAUUUUCAUUUAAACAAGUCGACGUGAGCUACACACUCGAGUUAAUCAAUAAAAUCGGUUUAUCGCCCAGCCCUACUGGGUAGGAUGGUAGACUGAUCUAUCAGUCGUACAUCUGGUUGGUUACU